Molecule: long non-coding RNA, 3151 nt
Organism: Malurus melanocephalus (red-backed fairy wren)
Lineage: Eukaryota; Metazoa; Chordata; Aves; Passeriformes; Maluridae
Exons: 3
Source: RefSeq, a predicted model, not a curated record
AAGUCCUCCGCCAGCCACGACGGGGCAUAGAACUCCUCAAGGAAAAGCUCGGAACGGCCAGCUCCCAGCUCAUCAGAUCCAUGUYUUCAUCCCUGCAUCAUCUCAUUUGGAUGCUGCUGCUGGAGCAAUUUCUCCYGUCUUGCCUGUUCUGUCUCUUCCCCCUGGCCAUUCCAAGGUUCAUUUUUCCACAAGGAGGUGUCUUUUACAGUAGAGGACAAAAAUAAAUUAUGAGUGAAAAGAAGUUAAAAUUGUUCCUCUCAAGCAAGUCUCUUCCAUCAAUGCUUUAUCCUUCCAUUACAUCUGAUGUCAUUAAUCAUUCUACUGUAAUAUUUGACACACACAUUUGUGGGACAAAUUAGGAUCUAAUAUAAAAGYUGCAAUAAUACUGACUUAUGUGGAACUGCAGCUAAUUAUAACAUAUUUGAAUUUUCAUCUUUUAUAAAAGACCUCUAUAAAAUAGACAGACUUUCACACUGCUGAAAUGAGACUGAGAUAGUCAAGCAUAUGAGGGGCAAGGGAAGAAACAUCCAAGGAUAGCAGGACAAAUCUCAGCACCAUAAUGAGCCAAUAUCAGUUGUUGGUGGAUUCUUUUUAUUUGUAGGUUUUUUUCUCUUUAAGCUUUCAGAUGGCUUCUCUACUGUAGCUGUGGUGCUCAGCUUAUUUAAAUUGGAAAGGUUUGGUUGCCUUUAUACAUGAAGGACUGAUUCUGCUAUCUUCAGAGAUUAAAUGUUGCUUCAGUUGUCACAGGUGGACUAGAAGAGAUAAAGGAGACAGGAUACCAAUGCAGGAAAAUACAUCUCAUYGAGCAAGAGGGUGAGAGUUCACUAAAUAUUUUCUAAAAAGCGGCCUCUCCUUCCUCUCUCCCCACAGGGUCUUCACUAUGCCCUUGCUUGUAGACCUCUAGAUCCUCAGUCUUUGGAGUUCCCUGUGUCAGGUUCAAUGUUUGUGUUCAGUUCCUUGAAGAAGCAUCAGACAUUGCUCUGCCUUGAGAUCCUGCCAGUGCUCAAAGCCUUGGAUCCAUGUGGAGGGAGAAAAUUAGCAGCAUAAAUUCUCAGUUUGUGUAUUARCUAAAAAGUUGGUUAGGCUCUGCUAUUUCUGCAUCUGGGAUCCUCAGUCUGAGUGUGGGCUCAUUACUCUACUGAAUUAUAUAUCAGAAGUAAUUUCUUUUCCUUKGAAGUGAAUCCUACAUAUGUGCAACUCUUUUCUAAAAUGGAUUCCUUGUGUCUCUCAGACAUUGUGUUUGCCUUAGAUAAUCUUCAGAAAAACAAGUUGUCCAGUUAGUUCCCCAUGGGUUUGCCCCCCAUCUAGAAAUGAGAGGAGAUCAUAGAUUUAGCAUGUUUUCUGGAUGCUGAGAUUCRUAUGCAAUGUUGAAGGAGCAGCAGCUUCCUUUACAGGUUUUCCCUUGUGCUGCCCUUAAGCAUCCUAGAUUGAUGCAUUUUUCAUUUUCCAGUGCAGUAGCACCUUUCUGUGCUGGUGCUUCAAAGCCAUAAUAUCUCCAAAUCUAACAGAAAGGUUAUUUUGAAGUUUUCAUUUACAGGAGUAUUAAUGCCACGCUUGUUUCCUUAAUAGUCUGUUACAUGCUGAAGGCAAGGAUUGUGCUGUUUGAGAUUAACACAGCACAAACUGCUGUGCAGAGCUGCCCAUUUCAGACACCUCAGUGGAAGCCAGGUGAAUAACCCUGUUUAAGGCAUGGACCAGAGCACUGGGAAAAUGGCCAGUAAGAGUUAAGRGUUCAUUGGUAUAAUGAAGGGUACAUUUUCUCCCUUCCUUGCCAAUACCUUUUAAAGAUGUCUCUGAGCAGAAACAAAAGGGUCUUGCUGUCCACCACUAUUUACUGUGUCACUGCCUUGUCACAGAUUCCUGUGCURUUUCUCCUCACGUCUGCAGUUACUCCUUUUAUCCCUGUUUUUGUGGUAUGACCCCACUUGCAAUGCAUCUGUUCAUAGUUAUUCUCCAUCCCUUCACUCUUCCAAACUUCACUGUAUUACCCUAGAAAUCACCUUUUUGUCUUUAAGCUCCUGUCUGCCUUGUAUCAUCUCUCAAGGCUUCUGYAUUUUUUGUUACCCUCUUUCUAUCAAGCGUCUUCAUUCUCACUGUAUAUCUUAGGCCCAGUUUCUUCACCAGCUUCCUUCAACUUACUGCUGCUGGACUUCCUACAUUGUCCCCAGUGUGUUAUUUUGAGUCACAAAUGGGAAGCUGAGCUGCAAGGCUGCAGGAACCCUGGACUUUCAUGCAGAAGUGCUGCAGCCAAAUAUGGAUGUCCAAUUCCAGACCAGGUUGGCAAGCUUCUGAUGUUAUUUAUGGGUCUGUAGAAUUAUUAUUUCACACAGGCACUGAAAUAGCUGGAUGUUGGAUCAAGCUUUAGUUGGUCAGUAACAGUUUUGCAUUGCUUUCUGCCCCUUACACAGCUUUGUGACAGGUAGAGGUCUUGUCCAAAUGGCAGGAUGGCUCCAGAUGAGUUGGGGGCAGUUAGAUGUGCACCAUUUGUGCAAGCUGUGCACUAGAAGCACUACUUAGUAUUUCUUAUAUUGCUGAAUUGGGUUCAGCAGUAAUAAUAUUGGAGUAUGAUCAUAAUAAGUYCAGUAAUUAGCAAUAGGGAGUUCUUUACUUAAUCCCACCACAUUCUGUAGUUGUUUGUAAUUUAAGUUUGCAUUCUACCCCCUAAAACCCAGACUGACUAUACCAGUCACACAACUGGUAGGAAUGGUGUGAUCCCCCAUUUAAAUCAUUGUUAUUAACCAAUUUAUAGGUUUGGCUUCCUUAGUGUUAUAUGAUUUAAUGUUAAAUGUAUAAUAAUGUUUUCUGUAAAAUGUUGAGUUCAAACUGCCCUUAAGUUAUUGUAGUGGGCUGGUUGUGGGGGUUUAAAAAGGUGGUACCACAAUCCCUGGGUGUGCCUCUGGCACUGUGCCAAGCACCCACCAUCACUGUAUACUCUUGCUCUGCAGAUUUUUGGGUUCUCAAUAAAUUUUCUUUUGGCUCAUUCUCACUCGGAGUCUGGGUCAUUUAUAACAUCUUCAAGUUUUUUAAUUAAAAAAGCUGUAUAGCAUUACAAUUCACUGACUAAACUAAUUUUAUGCUUUAAUUUCAGGAGUUUAAAAGAAUGGUGGGAAUAUUCAGAGAUUUCCUCACUUGUCUGAACUCUUUCUCCUGG